AGCUAGAAGAAAACAUUUUUAGUUUAACCUGCCCAAUGUUAAAGAAUUAAUGGCCGCGGUACCCUGACCGUGCUAAGGUAGCGUAAUCAGUUGGCUUUUAAAUGGAGUCAGGAAUGAAUGGGAUAACCUGGUUUAGCUGUCUCCUAACUAUUUAGUUAAAUUUACUGACUAAGUGAAAAAGCUUGGAGGUUGAAAAGGGACGAGAAGACCCUUAGAAUUUUAUUUAAAAUAAAUGUUAAUAUCAUUUAGUUGUUUUGUUGGGGUGACAUGGGAAUAAAUAUUAACUUUCCGUUAAAAAAAUAAGACAAGUAUAAUAAGAGAGGAUAAAUUACCUAAGGGAUAACAGCAUAAUUCUAUAAAUGAGUUUGUGACCUCGAUGUUGGACUAGGAAACUAAUAAAUUAGCCUUUAUUGUGUUGGUUCGUUCAACUAAAUUCU
RNAcentral lists this ribosomal RNA (437 nucleotides) under Dermatobranchus sp. 17 MP-2010. RNAcentral's name for it is "partial 16S ribosomal RNA". It matches the Rfam family "Bacterial large subunit ribosomal RNA", at positions 1824 to 2596 of the family's 2925-position model. Lineage: Eukaryota; Metazoa; Mollusca; Gastropoda; Nudibranchia; Arminidae. The record is from RNAcentral.